RNAcentral lists this ribosomal RNA (430 nucleotides) under Pseudomonadota bacterium. RNAcentral describes it as "Proteobacteria bacterium partial 16S ribosomal RNA". It matches the Rfam family "Bacterial small subunit ribosomal RNA", at positions 355 to 776 of the family's 1533-position model. The record is from RNAcentral. Lineage: Bacteria; Pseudomonadati; Pseudomonadota.
UGGGGAAUAUUGGACAAUGGGGGGAACCCUGAUCCAGCCAUGCCGCGUGUGUGAAGAAGGCCUUAUGGUUGUAAAGCACUUUAAGCGAGGAGGAGGGUACUGGUAUUAAUACUACCAGCUACUGGACGUUACUCGCAGAAUAAGCACCGGCUAACUCUGUGCCAGCAGCCGCGGUAAUACAGAGGGUGCGAGCGUUAAUCGGAUUUACUGGGCGUAAAGCGUGCGUAGGCGGCUAAUUGAGUCAGAUGUGAAAUCCCCGAGCUUAACUUGGGAAUUGCAUUCGAUACUGGUUAGCUAGAGUGUGGGAGAGGAUGGUAGAAUUCCAGGUGUAGCGGUGAAAUGCGUAGAGAUCUGGAGGAAUACCGAUGGCGAAGGCAGCCAUCUGGCCUAACACUGACGCUGAGGUACGAAAGCAUGGGGAGCAAACAGG